GCAGCACAGGAGAGCUUGCUCUCUGGGUGGCGAGUGGCGGACGGGUGAGGAAUACAUCGGAAUCUACUCUGUCGUGGGGGAUAACGUAGGGAAACUUACGCUAAUACCGCAUACGACCUACGGGUGAAAGCAGGGGAUCUUCGGACCUUGCGCGAUUGAAUGAGCCGAUGUCGGAUUAGCUAGUUGGCGGGGUAAAGGCCCACCAAGGCGACGAUCCGUAGCUGGUCUGAGAGGAUGAUCAGCCACACUGGAACUGAGACACGGUCCAGACUCCUACGGGAGGCAGCAGUGGGGAAUAUUGGACAAUGGGCGCAAGCCUGAUCCAGCCAUACCGCGUGGGUGAAGAAGGCCUUCGGGUUGUAAAGCCCUUUUGUUGGGAAAGAAAUCCAGCCGGCUAAUACCUGGUUGGGAUGACGGUACCCAAAGAAUAAGCACCGGCUAACUUC
This 446-nucleotide ribosomal RNA is filed under the name Stenotrophomonas maltophilia. RNAcentral's name for it is "bacterial SSU rRNA". It matches the Rfam family "Bacterial small subunit ribosomal RNA", at positions 66 to 504 of the family's 1533-position model. Lineage: Bacteria; Pseudomonadati; Pseudomonadota; Gammaproteobacteria; Lysobacterales; Lysobacteraceae. The record is from RNAcentral.